UGGCCGUGCAAGUGAUAUGUGAUCAAAACUACCGAUUUCUUGAUAUAAAUGCAAGAUAUUCUGGUCGUACACACUGUUCUCACAUUUGGCGACGUAGUCACGUCAAUGGUAUUAUGAAACACUCUCAAAAACGUAAUCCGAAAACAUGGUUAGUAGCUGAUCGCGGUUAUCACUUGACCUCGGGUAUUAUUAAUCCAUAUC
Musca vetustissima is the source of this 201-nucleotide long non-coding RNA. RefSeq lists it as uncharacterized. Lineage: Eukaryota; Metazoa; Arthropoda; Insecta; Diptera; Muscidae. The transcript has 3 exons. The record is from RefSeq and is a predicted model, not a curated record.